RNAcentral lists this ribosomal RNA (464 nucleotides) under Vreelandella stevensii. RNAcentral's name for it is "partial 16S ribosomal RNA". It matches the Rfam family "Bacterial small subunit ribosomal RNA", at positions 338 to 795 of the family's 1533-position model. Lineage: Bacteria; Pseudomonadati; Pseudomonadota; Gammaproteobacteria; Oceanospirillales; Halomonadaceae. The record is from RNAcentral.
CCUACGGGUGCUGCAGUGGGGAAUAUUGGACAAUGGGCGAAAGCCUGAUCCAGCCAUGCCGCGUGUGUGAAGAAGGCCUUCGGGUUGUAAAGCACUUUCAGUGGGGAAGAAAGCCUUGGGGCUAAUACCCUCGAGGAAGGACAUCACCCACAGAAGAAGCACCGGCUAACUCCGUGCCAGCAGCCGCGGUAAUACGGAGGGUGCGAGCGUUAAUCGGAAUUACUGGGCGUAAAGCGCGCGUAGGCGGUCUGAUAAGCCGGUUGUGAAAGCCCCGGGCUCAACCUGGGAACGGCAUCCGGAACUGUCAGGCUAGAGUGCAGGAGAGGAAGGUAGAAUUCCCGGUGUAGCGGUGAAAUGCGUAGAGAUCGGGAGGAAUACCAGUGGCGAAGGCGGCCUUCUGGACUGACACUGACGCUGAGGUGCGAAAGCGUGGGUAGCAAACAGGAUUAGAUACCCCGGUAGCC